Molecule: unclassified non-coding RNA, 378 nt
Filed under: uncultured bacterium
Lineage: Bacteria
Description: contains 16S-23S intergenic spacer region
Source: RNAcentral
UCCGAGUUGAUCCCGGCAGUCUCCCAUGAGUCCCCACCAUUACGUGCUGGCAACAUAGGAUAAGGGUUGCGCUCGUUGCGGGACUUAACCCAACAUCUCACGACACGAGCUGACGACAGCCAUGCACCACCUGUGACCGUGCCCCGAAGGGAGGGUGUGUUUCCACACCUGUCACGGACAUGUCAAGUCCAGGUAAGGUUCUUCGCGUUGCGUCGAAUUAAACCACAUGCUCCGCUGCUUGUGCGGGCCCCCGUCAAUUCCUUUGAGUUUCAGCCUUGCGGCCGUACUCCCCAGGCGGGGCACUUAACGCGUAAGCUGCGACACGGAGAGGGCCGAUCCCCCCCGCAUCCAGUGCCCAUCGUUUACGGCGUGGACUAC